GAAGGAGCUCAGAUCAAAGCCGUUCACAUCAGAAAAGCCCCAGGAAGAGCAGCCGAGGAGGAGGAGGAGGGCACGAGAGCUGCUCAGGACCAGCGAGGGGUGGCAGCGCUGCUGGUCUGGAGUCAGCACAGGGCAGGUGAUGGCACGGGGAGGAGGAGGAAGCAGCCCCCUCCCGGGGAGAGCACUGCGCCCUGGUUUAUAGCUAGAAGCUCAUCCAAGGAGCCCAUCAGGUACCUGUUCCCAGCCCAUCUUCUCACGUGGCCACCAGCCCUGAGAGCAGCAGGGCUCGGAGAGGAGCAAGCGGCCGUUCCCUGCCCAGGACUCGACGCUUACCUCCUCCUCUGCCGACCUGGUAGCGCGGCGUGCCCCCUCCUCCCUGGCCCCCAGCCCCGCAGCCACACACCAGCGCCUUUCAUUAGCAAAGCGGAGGACCAGAGCCCCAUCCAGGGCCGGAGGGUGCUGACAAGAGCUGCAUUCAUCAGGGCACUGGCUCAGGCUCAAACCAAACAGGACGUCGGCUGCGAAGCCGCCGGGAGGACGGGGCCUGUCUGGGCAGAGGGCUGGGUGAAAUCCCUUUUCUCCAGCCUCAGCAGCGCCGCCGAUUCGCUGAGCACCACGGACCGCUGCAACCCCAGCCUGAUCUGCACCAACCUUGUGCGAAGGCCCCGAAGAAGGCUGAAAGGCGCCUCUUUGCUCCGCUUGGCUCCUCGCUGUGCCGAGCUCCCUGCAGGGCCAGCAACCAGCCGCAGCAGCCCCAGGGAAGCCACGCGCGACAACCACUGCAGCCAUCGGGCCAGUGAAAAACACAACAGCCCGGCUUGCUCGGGGCGCAAAGCAAUCACACCUCCUUUGGGGAAAGAAAAAGCAACUAGGAAAGGCUUGAGCAUUACUUGUGCUUGCAACACGUGCUGGAAGGGAAGGCAGGGAGAAGAUAAACUCACAGCUAGCUCCCCACGCUCAGUCUCGGGGCAGGCUGAGCCACCAGCCUCAGAACAAAACAGCCACCAGCCCACCAGCUGCUAA
Molecule: long non-coding RNA, 1023 nt
Filed under: Anser cygnoides (Swan goose)
Lineage: Eukaryota; Metazoa; Chordata; Aves; Anseriformes; Anatidae
Description: lncRNA (ENSACDG00005009716.1)
Source: RNAcentral